AGAUAUGAUAGAGUCCUUGUCUAGGUCAAAUACCUAGUCAAGGUAUAUCCAAACAGGGCAAGAUAAGGGGUGCCCAACUCUUGGGCACCCCCUCAUUCUUUUUAUACGUGGACCCCCAGAAAAGGGUGCAUAUUAUGUAUCAUAAAAGCCAUAAAAAUCUCAAAAAAAAUUUGGGUAAAAUCAGUGCCAUGAGGAAAGAGUUUUGGUUUCCUAAAACUCUAUCUCAUAGAAUUUGAAAUCCAAACUAAUUCCUACUUUGACUUGAUCCACAACCACUUUCCGUGUAAGAGAG
RNAcentral lists this long non-coding RNA (292 nucleotides) under Elaeis guineensis (African oil palm). RNAcentral's name for it is "long non-coding RNA (EGUI_LNC065374)". The record is from RNAcentral. Lineage: Eukaryota; Viridiplantae; Streptophyta; Magnoliopsida; Arecales; Arecaceae.